Molecule: long non-coding RNA, 637 nt
Organism: Raphanus sativus (radish)
Lineage: Eukaryota; Viridiplantae; Streptophyta; Magnoliopsida; Brassicales; Brassicaceae
Exons: 2
Source: RefSeq, a predicted model, not a curated record
UUCUUCUUCUUCUUCGUUAAUUCUGCUGGAAGUUGAAAUCGGUGUUUCGAUGCAUCGGAAAUAAAAUUGGAGUUUGAGUCAGGAGGAAUAACCCCUAAUUUCGUGAUUCCAAUCUGGAAGUAGGUGAUUCGGAAUUCCGAUUGCGUCUGGGACGAGAUUCCUUCACUGCCCUCCCCCGCACACACUCUCCUCAUUCAAAGUUCAAGACUGUCACUUCGUCUCUUCACUCCCUCUUCCACUCCUCCGAAACUCCUCGUUGAGGUCGCUAGUUAGCAGAAGCAGAAGCGUGGUGGUUCAUUCAAUUGAAUCUUCUAGGGAUUUUUCUGGGUUUCUUUGUGCUUGAGGAUUGGUGUCAAGCAAGGAGGUUGCUUGGGGAUGUUUUACAGCAUGGACUUUGAGAUGGAUGUCUGGUAUGAGUUUCCACCAUUAAGUACCAAAGCUUCGCUAUAGGUUAGAUUCUUCCCUUCGUUUGGUUGGUGUUAUCAAAGCAGUAAACUUCACUGUAUUAAACUGUGUAUCAAGUAAGGAGAUUGCUUUUACUUGUUUCUGUCUUAGUCGUGAGAUGGAUGAAAUGAAAUGAAUUGAUUAUUGCUUCUGUUACUCUUUGAAAUGCAUUUAGCUCCUGUUCAUCUAUACA